CAGCCGUAAACAAUGUGCGUUAGGUGUGUCGGUAACCACGUGUUACUGAUGCGCCGAAGAGAAAUCGUGAAACGCACCACCUGGGAAGUACGGUCGCAAGGCUGAAACUUAAAGGAAUUGGCGGGGGAGCACCACAACAGGUGGAGCCUGCGGUUUAAUUGGAUUCAACGCCGGACAUCUCACCGGAUAAGACAGCUGAAUGAUUGUCAAUCUGAAGGUUUUACAUGACUAGCUGAGAGGUGGUGCAUGGCGUAGACGUCU
This 261-nucleotide ribosomal RNA is filed under the name uncultured archaeon. Its description in RNAcentral is "partial 16S ribosomal RNA". It matches the Rfam family "Archaeal small subunit ribosomal RNA", at positions 748 to 1009 of the family's 1478-position model. The record is from RNAcentral.